Schistosoma mansoni is the source of this 45-nucleotide non-coding RNA. The record is from Rfam. Lineage: Eukaryota; Metazoa; Platyhelminthes; Trematoda; Strigeidida; Schistosomatidae.
AUCCAGCUGACGAGUCCCAAACAGAACGAAACGCGCGUCCUGGAU